RNAcentral lists this ribosomal RNA (325 nucleotides) under uncultured eukaryote. RNAcentral describes it as "partial 18S ribosomal RNA". It matches the Rfam family "Eukaryotic small subunit ribosomal RNA", at positions 1470 to 1796 of the family's 1831-position model. The record is from RNAcentral.
CCCUUAGAUGUCCUGGGCCGCACGCGCGCUACACUGAUGCAUUCAACGAGUUUUACCUUGGCCGAGAGGCCUGGGCAAUCUUUUAAACCUGCAUCGUGAUAGGGACAGAUUAUUGCAAUUAUUAAUCUUGAACGAGGAAUUCCUAGUAAACGCAAAUCAUCAAUUUGCAUUGAUUACGUCCCUGCCCUUUGUACACACCGCCCGUCGCACCUACCGAUUGAAUGGUCCGGUGAAGCCUCGGGAUUGUGGCCAGUUCACUUUAUUGGGAGUUGGCUGUGAGAACUUGUCUAAACCUUAUCAUUUAGAGGAAGGUGAAGUCGUAACA